Molecule: ribosomal RNA, 465 nt
Filed under: uncultured bacterium
Lineage: Bacteria
Description: partial 16S ribosomal RNA
Rfam family: Bacterial small subunit ribosomal RNA
Source: RNAcentral
CCUACGGGCGGCAGCAGUGGAGAAUAUUGCGCAAUGGGCGAAAGCCUGACGCAGCGACGCCGCGUGAGGGAUGAAGGUCUUCGGAUCGUAAACCUCUGUCAGCAGGGAAGAACGGUCACUGUGCUAAUCAGCAGUGAAUUGACGGUACCUGCAAAGGAAGCACCGGCUAACUCCGUGCCAGCAGCCGCGGUAAUACGGAGGGGGCGAGCGUUAAUCGGAAUUACUGGGCGUAAAGCGCGCGUAGGCGGUAUGUCAAGUCAAGGGUGAAAUCCCCGCGCUCAACGUGGGAACUGCCUUUGAAACUGGCAGACUGGAGUGUGGGAGAGGAGAGUGGAAUUCCAGGUGUAGGAGUGAAAUCCGUAGAUAUCUGGAGGAACAUCAGUGGCGAAGGCGACUAUCUGGCACAUAACUGACGCUGAGGAGCGAAAGCGUGGGUAGCAAACAGGAUUAGAUACCCCUGUAGUC